UACGUAGGGUGCGAGCGUUGUCCGGAAUUACUGGGCGUAAAGAGCUCGUAGGUGGUUUGUCGCGUUGUUCGUGAAAACCGGGGGCUUAACCCUCGGCGUGCGGGCGAUACGGGCAGACUUGAGUACUGCAGGGGAGACUGGAAUUCCUGGUGUAGCGGUGGAAUGCGCAGAUAUCAGGAGGAACACCGGUGGCGAAGGCGGGUCUCUGGGCAGUAACCGACGCUGAGGAGCGAAAGCGUGGGGAGCGAACAGG
Molecule: ribosomal RNA, 253 nt
Filed under: uncultured bacterium
Lineage: Bacteria
Description: partial 16S ribosomal RNA
Rfam family: Bacterial small subunit ribosomal RNA
Source: RNAcentral